Molecule: ribosomal RNA, 1373 nt
Filed under: uncultured bacterium
Lineage: Bacteria
Description: bacterial SSU rRNA
Rfam family: Bacterial small subunit ribosomal RNA
Source: RNAcentral
AGAGUUUGAUCCUGGCUCAGGACGAACGCUGGCGGCGCGCCUAACACAUGCAAGUCGAACGAGCGAGAGAGAGCUUGCUUUCUCAAGCGAGUGGCGAACGGGUGAGUAACGCGUGAGGAACCUGCCUCAAAGAGGGGGACAACAGUUGGAAACGACUGCUAAUACCGCAUAAGCCCACAGCUCGGCAUCGAGCAGAGGGAAAAGGAGCAAUCCGCUUUGAGAUGGCCUCGCGUCCGAUUAGCUAGUUGGUGAGGUAAUGGCCCACCAAGGCGACGAUCGGUAGCCGGACUGAGAGGUUGAACGGCCACAUUGGGACUGAGACACGGCCCAGACUCCUACGGGAGGCAGCAGUGGGGAAUAUUGCACAAUGGGGGAAACCCUGAUGCAGCGACGCCGCGUGGAGGAAGGAGGUCUUCGGAUUGUAAACUCCUGUUGUUGAGGAAGAUAAUGACGGUACUCAACAAGGAAGUGACGGCUAACUACGUGCCAGCAGCCGCGGUAAAACGUAGGUCACAAGCGUUGUCCGGAAUUACUGGGUGUAAAGGGAGCGCAGGCGGGAAGACAAGUUGGAAGUGAAAUCUAUGGGCUCAACCCAUAAACUGCUUUCAAAACUGUUUUUCUUGAGUAGUGCAGAGGUAGGCGGAAUUCCCGGUAUAGCGGUGGAAUGCGUAGAUAUCGGGAGGAACACCAGUGGCGAAGGCGGCCUACUGGGCACCAACUGACGCUGAGGCUCGAAAGUGUGGGUAGCAAACAGGAUUAGAUACCCUGGUAGUCCACACCGUAAACGAUGAUUACUAGGUGUUGGAGGAUUGACCCCUUCAGUGCCGCAGUUAACACAAUAAGUAAUCCACCUGGGGAGUACGACCGCAAGGUUGAAACUCAAAGGAAUUGACGGGGGCCCGCACAAGCAGUGGAGUAUGUGGUUUAAUUCGACGCAACGCGAAGAACCUUACCAAGUCUUGACAUCCCUUGACGAACAUAGAAAUAUGUUUUCUCUUCGGAGCAAGGAGACAGGUGGUGCAUGGUUGUCGUCAGCUCGUGUCGUGAGAUGUUGGGUUAAGUCCCGCAACGAGCGCAACCCUUACUGUCAGUUACUACGCAAGAGGACUCUGGCAGGACUGCCGUUGACAAAACGGAGGGAGGUGGGGAUGACGUCAAAUCAUCAUGCCCUUUAUGACUUGGGCUACACACGUACUACAAUGGCGUUAAACAAAGAGAAGCAAGACCGCGAGGUGGAGCAAAACUCAGAAACAACGUCCCAGUUCGGACUGCAGGCUGCAACUCGCCUGCACGAAGUCGGAAUUGCUAGUAAUCGUGGAUCAGCAUGCCACGGUGAAUACGUUCNCCGGGCAUUUGUACACAGGCGCCCGUNC